CUACGGGUGGCUGCAGUAAGGAAUAUUGCGCAAUGGAGGCAACUCUGACGCAGCCAUGCCGCGUGCAGGAAGAAGGCCUUAUGGGUCGUAAACUGCUUUUAUUUAGGAAUAAACCCCCGAACGUGUUCGGGGCUGAAGGUACUAAACGAAUAAGCACCGGCUAACUCCGUGCCAGCAGCCGCGGUAAUACGGAGGGUGCAAGCGUGUAUCCGGAUUUAUUGGGUUUAAAGGGUGCGCAGGCGGGCUAUUAAGUCAGUGGUGAAAUCCCGGGGCUCAACUCCGGAACUGCCAUUGAUACUGUAGUCUAGAGUUUGGUUGAAGUGGGCGGAAUGUAGCAUGUAGCGGUGAAAUGCAUAGAUAUGCUACAGAACACCAAUCGCGAAGGCAGCUCACUAAGCCAAAACUGACGCUCAUGCACGAAAGCGUGGGGAUCAAACAGGAUUAGAUACCCUCGUAGUC
RNAcentral lists this ribosomal RNA (459 nucleotides) under uncultured bacterium. RNAcentral's name for it is "partial 16S ribosomal RNA". It matches the Rfam family "Bacterial small subunit ribosomal RNA", at positions 339 to 795 of the family's 1533-position model. The record is from RNAcentral.